AGGAGGAACAACCCCAGUUGUGGCGGUAGGUCUGGAGCCCUGGAGUCAGCUCCCACAGUAACCACUGAGCUCUCCGUCUGCAGGGCCUGGAGGCUCUGGGGCAGG
RNAcentral lists this microRNA precursor (105 nucleotides) under Canis lupus dingo (dingo). Its description in RNAcentral is "mir-8834 microRNA precursor family". It matches the Rfam family "mir-8834 microRNA precursor family". Lineage: Eukaryota; Metazoa; Chordata; Mammalia; Carnivora; Canidae. The record is from Rfam by way of RNAcentral.